Molecule: transfer RNA, 76 nt
Filed under: Solobacterium sp.
Lineage: Bacteria; Bacillati; Bacillota; Erysipelotrichia; Erysipelotrichales; Erysipelotrichaceae
Description: tRNA-Gln
Rfam family: tRNA
About the family: Transfer RNA (tRNA) molecules are approximately 80 nucleotides in length. Their secondary structure includes four short double-helical elements and three loops (D, anti-codon, and T loops).
Source: RNAcentral
UGCGGCAUAGCCAAGCGGUAAGGCAACGGACUUUGACUCCGUCAUCUCGCAAGUUCGAAUCUUGCUGCCGCAGCCA